RNAcentral lists this ribosomal RNA (300 nucleotides) under uncultured Bacillus sp. RNAcentral's name for it is "bacterial SSU rRNA". It matches the Rfam family "Bacterial small subunit ribosomal RNA", at positions 496 to 795 of the family's 1533-position model. Lineage: Bacteria; Bacillati; Bacillota; Bacilli; Caryophanales; Bacillaceae. The record is from RNAcentral.
GCUAACGCUGGGACAGGUGACGGGGUAAUACGGGGUGUGCGAGGGUUGCUCGGAAGCACUGGGCGUAAAGCGAACGUAGGCGGUCCUUUAAGUCAGGGGUGAAAUCCUGGAGCUCAACGCCAGAACUGCCUUUGAUACUGAGAGACUUGAGUCCGGGAGAGGUGAGUGGAACUGCGAGUGUAGAGGUGAAAUUCGUACAUAUUCGCAAGAACACCAGUGGCGAAGGCGGCUCACUGGCCCGGUACUGACGCUGAGGUGCGAAAGCGUGGGGAGCAAACAGGAUUAGAUACCCCAGUAGUC